RNAcentral lists this ribosomal RNA (468 nucleotides) under uncultured bacterium. RNAcentral's name for it is "partial 16S ribosomal RNA". It matches the Rfam family "Bacterial small subunit ribosomal RNA", at positions 28 to 507 of the family's 1533-position model. The record is from RNAcentral.
GAUGAACGCUGGCGGCGUGCUUAACACAUGCAAGUCGAACGGAAAGGCCAGUGCUUGCACUGGUACUCGAGUGGCGAACGGGUGAGUAACACGUGGGUGAUCUGCCCUGUACUUCGGGAUAAGCUUGGGAAACUGGGUCUAAUACCGGAUAGGACAACUUUUUGGAUAUUGUUGUGGAAAGCUUUUGCGGUAUGGGAUGAGCUCGCGGCCUAUCAGCUUGUUGGUGGGGUAAUGGCCUACCAAGGCGUCGACGGGUAGCCGGCCUGAGAGGGUGUACGGCCACAUUGGGAAUGAGAUACGGCCCAGACUCCUACGGGAGGCAGCAGUGGGGAAUAUUGCACAAUGGGCGCAAGCCUGAUGCAGCGACGCCGCGUGGGGGAUGAAGGCCUUCGGGUUGUAAACUCCUUUCGCUAGGGACGAAGCUUUUUUGUGACGGUACCUGGAGAAGAAGCACCGGCUAACUACGUG